AUGAUACAUCUCGAGUUGUUGGCCAUGGCUUCUGGUUCCAUGCCGAGGCUCCUCAUCGCCUUCAUCCUCAUCUCUUGUGUUGUCCACCGCGGGCGGGCGAUCAGCACGAUCCUGCCAGCGGUGCAGUACAUCAAGUGCGGCUCCCAAAAGUACGAGCUGGGCAGCGGCUACGAUGACAACGUUCGCUGGCUUCUCCCCAACCUUACGGAGUCCGUCAUCAAGGACGGCGCCAUUUCCGUCUUGGCUGGUGUCGGCAACAGGGCCAGCGACAGCGACCCUGAUGAUAGGGUGGGUUGCGUGGCCAUGUGCUACGCGGACCACGGCCGGGAAGAGUGCGCGCAGUGCCUCAGGUACGUCGCCGGCCGGUUCCUCCAAGGGAAGGACUGCCCCAACGCCAGGAACGCGUCCGCCUUCUACGACGCCUGCCAGGUAUGGUACUACCAGCUCCCCCCGGUGGUGGGCAUCGGCUACUCAUUCAUGGCGGUCACCAGAAAUUUGGGGCUUGACCUCACCGGCAGCCAAGAUGUGGUGAGCUUCCGGACGAAGCGGAGAUUGCUUCUGCAAGAUCUAUCUAGCCGGGCGAUUGCGUCCAAGCAGUACGCCGCGGCCAGCAGCACCAUGUACAGCUACGGCAGCGAUGCCGCAAGCAUCUACGGGCUUGUCCAGUGCCAGAGGUUCCUGUCCGGAGAUAACUGCAACUCCUGCCUCAACGGAUUCAUACGACGCAUUGAUUGUGAUAAUAAGACCGUAGGCGCCAUCAAAGGUUAUUAUUGCUACAUCAGAUACGGGACGGAGCAGUUCGUCGACUACGUCAAUGAAUACAUGACAACGUCGUCGCCCAAACACGCUUGGGCGACAGCACCCGCCAUGGCACCAGCGCUGGCGCCGGCGCCACCACCCCACAAACACAAAGGGAGGGCAACGAUGAUAGGAGUUAUCAUAGGUAUUUGCAGCGGCAGCAUCGUCUUGGUGAGCGGGAUUGUGCUUCUUCUCAGGUACCUCUUCCGUGGGAGGUUGUCCCGUGUGCCUUCCAGGCAAAGCAUACAACUUGGCAGCUCCGCGCCAAUGCAGUUUUCAGCCAGCCAGCUCAGGGACGCGACUAACAACUUCACUGACCCUCUAGGCAGCGGUGCAUUCGGUACCGUGUACAAGGGUACAAUGGGAGGGAAGGAGGUUGCGGUAAAGAAGCUUCAUAGCAAGGAUGGUGUCGUAGGGGCGGCCUUCACUAGCGAAGCCCACAUGCUCAUGGCGUUCAAGCAUAAGAAUCUUGUGAAGCUGCUGGGGUACUGCGACACAGGCGACGACAGGUUGCUCUGCUUCGAGUAUCUCAGUGGCGGAAGCAUCGAUAAGUUUAUCUAUAAGGGAAGUGGGUACGUGCUAGAUUGGAGCGGACGCUACAAGAUUGUGCAAGGAAUAUGUUCAGGCCUGCACUACCUACACCACGAACUAGACCAUGAGCAGAACAUCGUUCACCUGGAUUUGAAAGCGAGCAACGUACUGGUCAGCCGCGGCGAUGGGGGAGACAUCACCUGUGUGAAGAUCGCCGACUUUGGCCUCUCAAAGUUCUUCAAAGCGGAUCUAACACACUCGUACACGGAGCAGGUCGUUGGUCUAUUGGCGUACAUGGCACCGGAAUACGUCUGCAAGGGCAGAAUUUCACCCAAGGCCGAUAUAUACAGCUUUGGCAUUCUUAUUCUGGAGAUAGUCACUGGGCGAUGCGCCAAGGUGGGCGAUUCUUCGGGCGACUUCAUCACCUGGGUUCAUGAGGAGUGGAGAGGAGACGUCCGAGCUCUCAUGGAUGUUGAUGGCCUGCCGGGCGACUCUAUCACACAAGCCCGCAACUGCAUCGAGAUAGCGCUGGACUGCAUCCAGGAAGACCCCAACAGCAGGCCGGACGCGGCAAUGAUAAGGCAGAGGCUCUCGCAUGUAUGA
This 1932-nucleotide ribosomal RNA is filed under the name Triticum aestivum (bread wheat). RNAcentral describes it as "partial small subunit ribosomal RNA". The record is from RNAcentral. Lineage: Eukaryota; Viridiplantae; Streptophyta; Magnoliopsida; Poales; Poaceae.